Molecule: long non-coding RNA, 584 nt
Filed under: Pan troglodytes (chimpanzee)
Lineage: Eukaryota; Metazoa; Chordata; Mammalia; Primates; Hominidae
Description: long non-coding RNA NONPTRT016494
Source: RNAcentral
GAAGAAACACAACUUUCCAGGUUCUAUGUUUUAUUUGCAUUCUUAGUGUCUGGCACAUUGUCUGACACAGUGUAAAAGCUGAGUAGAAUUUUGCCUGAUAGCAGAUGUGCCUAAAGUGAGGGUGUCCAAAAUUUCAUUAAAUGACGACUGCUUUAAUAUGAAUUCUUGGCUAAGGCAGGAGAAUCGCUUGAACCCAGGAGGCAGAGGUUGCAGUGAGCCGAGAUCACACCACUGCACUCCAGCCUGGUGAGAGAGGGAGACUGCAUCUCAAAAAAAAAAAAAAUAUAUAUAUAUAUAUAUAUGAAUUCUUACUGAUAGUAUUAAAUGAUUAUCUCUUUACAUUCACAGUAAUGUCUUACAAUAACAGAAUGCAGGAGAGCACAUAUCAAUGAAGAAAAGACAAAAUGUACUUAUCCAUGAAGCUGAGGUUAAGAAACCAGUGUCUUCAAGAGCCAGGGACAGCACUGGGUCUGUGCAGAGUUGAGAGAUGGUGAUGACAUGUGGUUUCCAGCAUUCCUCGCCCAGUCCAGGGACACUGUGGGUGUGCCCAGCUUAAGUCCAGUCCAGUAACUGGAAAUACAAGC